RNAcentral lists this ribosomal RNA (473 nucleotides) under uncultured bacterium. RNAcentral's name for it is "bacterial SSU rRNA". It matches the Rfam family "Bacterial small subunit ribosomal RNA", at positions 335 to 801 of the family's 1533-position model. The record is from RNAcentral.
ACUCCUACGGGAGGCAGCAGUAGGGAAUCUUCCACAAUGGGCGAAAGCCUGAUGGAGCAAUGCCGCGUGAGUGAAGAAGGUUUUCGGAUCGUAAAACUCUGUUGUUGAAGAAGAACAUGCGUGAGAGUAACUGUUCACGUACUGACGGUAUUCAACCAGAAAGCCACGGCUAACUACGUGCCAGCAGCCGCGGUAAUACGUAGGUGGCAAGCGUUGUCCGGAUUUAUUGGGCGUAAAGAGAAUGUAGGCGGUUUUAUUAAGUUUGAAGUGAAAGCCCUCGGCUCAACCGAGGAAGUGCUUCGAAAACUGGUAAACUUGAGUGCAGAAGAGGAAAGUGGAACUCCAUGUGUAGCGGUGGAAUGCGUAGAUAUAUGGAAGAACACCAGUGGCGAAGGCGGCUUUCUGGUCUGUAACUGACGCUGAGAUUCGAAAGCAUGGUAGCAAACAGGAUUAGAUACCCUGGUAGGAUAGCG